Molecule: ribosomal RNA, 253 nt
Filed under: uncultured bacterium
Lineage: Bacteria
Description: partial 16S ribosomal RNA
Rfam family: Bacterial small subunit ribosomal RNA
Source: RNAcentral
UACGGAGGGGGCUAGCGUUGUUCGGAAUUACUGGGCGUAAAGCGCACGUAGGCGGCUUUGCAAGUUAGAGGUAAAAGCCCGGAGCUUAACUCCGGAAUUGCCUUUAAAACUGCAUCGCUAGAAUUGUGGAGAGGUGAGUGGAAUUCCGAGUGUAGAGGUGAAAUUCGUAGAUAUUCGGAAGAACACCAGUGGCGAAGGCGACUCACUGGACACAUAUUGACGCUGAGGUGCGAAAGCGUGGGGAGCAAACAGG